Molecule: long non-coding RNA, 1124 nt
Filed under: Brassica rapa (field mustard)
Lineage: Eukaryota; Viridiplantae; Streptophyta; Magnoliopsida; Brassicales; Brassicaceae
Description: long non-coding RNA (BRAP_LNC006038)
Source: RNAcentral
GACAAGGAAGUUAGCGCCGUGAACUUUACCGUCGCAGUUCCAGCAAAGACUCGCCUGAUCUGACUCGCAAUACAUUCUUGCAACACCGUCGCAUAAAUCACACUUCUUUUUCCCCAUCAGAUUCACUCUUCGAGAUUCUGAGGUUUGCUUCGGUUCUGUCUCUCUUUUGGUGUUUUUUUCUAUUUUUCUGGGGACAGAGAAAUAAUAAAGAGGAAAGUGCAAGUUGCGGGAGGAGGAUUGUCGUGGCGAGUUUUCUGUGAUUCAAUUCUUUUUUGAGGCUACUUUCGUCUUUUUAUCAGCAAAAAAAAAAUCGUUUUCUCUUCUUUGGUUUCAUAUUUGCUUCUUUCUAUUUUGUGGUCAGGAACCGUCUCGUUUUCAAUCAACUAUGCUUUCUUUUUUGUAAAGUAUUGAAUUAAUUAGAAGAAUGGUUCAAUCAUUAGCAACCUACAAUUUAUAUAAAUCAUAAUGGUGUAUUAUACUGUACUAGUUACAAAGAUAACGAACAAAGCCUCUGUUGAUUGAAGACUUUAUCAUGAAAUUGAAAUUUGUAGCGUAUGUCUUUUUUUUUCCAGUGAUGUUUCAAUCUUUAUUAGGUUUAUGUCUUGACUCAUUUUCUACUAAUCUAGACAAUAAUAAUGUCAAACGAGUUUGGUUUAGAUCCUUGGUAAUUAAAAAACGGGUCACAUCUAUUUUUGACAUUAAUCUCUGCUUUAAUAUGUACUACUAUUAGUUUAUUUAAUUUGAAAACCACUUAUUAAUGCGUUAUUACAUAUGGCCGCACGCCGUUUUAAGGUGGCGACAAACUCAUGGUUGUGUUUCAAGAUAUUUUAUAGUCGAUGACGUGGCGAAAUCUCAGCCUUGGGAAUAGGAGAGCGAGAUUCUGCUCCGUCCUACGUGGACGAAUAAGUUUCUCAACGGGCUUAGGAGCCACGUGAGCCCACCUGGGAUAUGUCCGGACCUUAAUACAAGUCUAUUGGGUCCCGCCUCAACCACUUGUUUUGUUUGUUUAUUACUCCCUCUAUUUUUUAAUAUAAGUCGUUUUACAGAAUCUUUUUUGUUUCAAAUUAUAUGUCGUUUUCGGUUUUCUAUGUAAAAUUUAUUAAUAACUAAUGUUGUAUGACCAA